This 253-nucleotide ribosomal RNA is filed under the name uncultured bacterium. RNAcentral's name for it is "partial 16S ribosomal RNA". It matches the Rfam family "Bacterial small subunit ribosomal RNA", at positions 524 to 776 of the family's 1533-position model. The record is from RNAcentral.
GACGUAGGGCGCGAGCGUUGUCCGGAUUUAUUGGGCGUAAAGAGCUCGUAGGUGGCUUGUCGCGUCGACUGUGAAAUCCCGAGGCUCAACCUCGGGCCUGCAGUGGGUACGGGCAGACUGGAGUGCGGUAGGGGAGAAUGGAAUUCCUGGUGUAGCGGUGGAAUGCGCAGAUAUCAGGAGGAACACCGAUGGCGAAGGCAGUUCUCUGGGCCGUAACUGACGCUGAGGAGCGAAAGCGUGGGGAGCGAACAGG